This 63-nucleotide transfer RNA is filed under the name Ictidomys tridecemlineatus (thirteen-lined ground squirrel). RNAcentral's name for it is "Spermophilus tridecemlineatus (thirteen-lined ground squirrel) tRNA". It matches the Rfam family "tRNA". From Rfam's summary of the family: Transfer RNA (tRNA) molecules are approximately 80 nucleotides in length. Their secondary structure includes four short double-helical elements and three loops (D, anti-codon, and T loops). The record is from Rfam by way of RNAcentral. Lineage: Eukaryota; Metazoa; Chordata; Mammalia; Rodentia; Sciuridae.
AGGGAUGUAGCUCAGUGGUAGAGUGCUUGCCUAAUAUGCAUGAAGCUCUGGUUUUCAUCCUCA